CCUACGGGUGGCAGCAGUGAGGAAUAUUGGUCAAUGGCCGGAAGGCUGAACCAGCCAAGCCGCGUGAAGGACGAAGGUGCCAAGCAUUUUAAACUUCUUUUGUCAAGGGACAAAAUCAGGCUCGAGAGCCUGACCGUGGGUACUUGAAGUAAAAGCAUCGGGUAACUCCGUCCCAGCAGCCGCGGUAAUACGGGGGAUGCGAGCGUUAUCCGGAUUUAUUGGGUUUAAGGGGAGGGUAGGCGGGCUGUUAAGUCAGCGGUAAAAGCCCGGGGUUAAACUCCGGCGAGCGGUUGAAACUGGCGGUCUGGAGAUGUCAAGAGGUGUGCGGAAUGCGCAGUGUAGCGGUGAAAUGCGUAGAUAUUGCGCAGAACACCGAUUGCGAAGGCAGCAUUCCGGCGGCGAUCUGACGCUGAGGCACGAAAGCGUGGGUAGCGAACAGGAUUAGAUACCCGUGUAGUC
RNAcentral lists this ribosomal RNA (459 nucleotides) under uncultured bacterium. RNAcentral's name for it is "partial 16S ribosomal RNA". It matches the Rfam family "Bacterial small subunit ribosomal RNA", at positions 338 to 795 of the family's 1533-position model. The record is from RNAcentral.